GACGAACGCUGGCGGCGUGCUUAACACAUGCAAGUCGAGCGGUAAGGCCCUUUCGGGGGUACACGAGCGGCGAACGGGUGAGUAACACGUGGGUGACCUGCCCUCAGCUCUGGGAUAAGCCUGGGAAACCGGGUCUAAUACUGGAUAUGACUCCAUGACGCAUGUUGGUGGGGUGGAAAGCCUUGUGCGGCUGAGGAGUGGGCCCGCGGCCUAUCAGCUUGUUGGGUGGGGGAUGGCCUACCAAGGCGACGACGGGUAGCCGGCCUGAGAGGGCGACCGGCCACACUGGGACUGAGACACGGCCCAGACUCCUACGGGAGGCAGCA
Molecule: ribosomal RNA, 326 nt
Filed under: uncultured bacterium
Lineage: Bacteria
Description: bacterial SSU rRNA
Rfam family: Bacterial small subunit ribosomal RNA
Source: RNAcentral